GGGGAAUUUUCCGCAAUGGGCGAAAGCCUGACGGAGCAACGCCGCGUGAGGGAGGAAGGCCUGUGGGUUGUAAACCUCUUUUCUCAGGGAAGAAGUUCUGACGGUACCUGAGGAAUCAGCAUCGGCUAACUCCGUGCCAGCAGCCGCGGUAAGACGGAGGAUGCAAGCGUUAUCCGGAAUUAUUGGGCGUAAAGCGUCCGUAGGCGGUUCAGAAAGUCUGCUGUUAAAGCUCACAGCUCAACUGUGAAUCGGCAGUGGAAACUUCUGGACUAGAGAGUGGUAGGGGUAGAGGGAAUUCCUAGUGUAGCGGUGAAAUGCGUAGAUAUUAGGAAGAACACCAGUGGCGAAGGCGCUCUACUGGGCCAUUACUGACGCUGAUGGACGAAAGCUAGGGGAGCGAAAGGGAUUAGAUACCCCUGUAGUCCUAGCUGUAAACGAUGGACACUAGGUGUUGGCCGUAUCGACCCGGUCAGUAUCGAAGCAAACGCGUUAAGUGUCCC
This 500-nucleotide ribosomal RNA is filed under the name uncultured cyanobacterium. RNAcentral describes it as "bacterial SSU rRNA". It matches the Rfam family "Bacterial small subunit ribosomal RNA", at positions 356 to 870 of the family's 1533-position model. Lineage: Bacteria; Bacillati; Cyanobacteriota. The record is from RNAcentral.